This 424-nucleotide long non-coding RNA is filed under the name Homo sapiens (human). RNAcentral describes it as "non-protein coding LINC01952:12". Lineage: Eukaryota; Metazoa; Chordata; Mammalia; Primates; Hominidae. The record is from RNAcentral.
CCUCCAGCCCCAAUAGUGACGCGCUCUCUGCCUUUCACCAGGCGCCCAAGCCUGACGAACAGAAAGGCAAACCAAUGAGAUUGGACGCCUCGCAGACGAAAGCCAAUAAAAAUAUCGCCCGCGAGCAAGGGAGGCGGGCCACUGGGAAGGACAGCAAAAUUAGCUAAUAAGGUGAAGCGAUUGCAGGCGCUGUGGCUUUCCCGCCCAUUCGCGGCGUUGGUUUUCCCGCUUCUGAGACUUGUUUGGGGAGGUUAAAAUUUGGAGGAUAACUCCCAGCUAGAAAGGAAGAAAAGCUCUAAAGUGGAAUCGCCUUCCCCCGGAAGCUGUUGUAAAAAUUAAAGGAUGUAUGUGAGUGCACAGGCUCUCCAGCGAUCGUUUUUCUUCCACAGUGUUAACACAAUUUAUUUAUUUAUUUACUUUUUGA